Phalaenopsis equestris is the source of this 736-nucleotide long non-coding RNA. RefSeq lists it as uncharacterized. The record is from RefSeq and is a predicted model, not a curated record. The transcript has 3 exons. Lineage: Eukaryota; Viridiplantae; Streptophyta; Magnoliopsida; Asparagales; Orchidaceae.
ACGGUAUAUUUGAUAUUGAUCAAGAAAAGCUUAAGGUUCUUUGGACAUAACUGUGAAGUCUCCCAUAAAGAGUAUAUUUGGUAUAACAACCCAAUGCUGCUUGCGCGGGGACUGAUUCUUGUUCACAACUGAAGCCAUGGAAUCAGGAAAGGAAAUAGAAGAAGCCAUAGCAGAGGACGGGGACUCGUUCUUUCUCACAACUGAAACCAAGCAAUCAGGAAUGGAAAUAGCUUACGUGUCCUCAUUACCCUAAUUCUCGUCCAAUCAAUUCUGGCUAUAAUCAUUAAUAAAUAGCCUCAAAAUACAAAUAUCAUAUUCAGAAUUAAUCCUCCUCCUUUGAUCCAUCGCCCUCAUAAUUCCUUCUCUCAUUUCCCGCCGUCAGUCUUCUUUCCCCACUGCUAUUCCCACCAGCAAACUUCUCCUUCUCCGACAGCUUUCUCCGCUGCAGUUCCCACCGGACUUCUCGUUCUGUUCUGUCUUCUUUCUACACUGUUGUUCCCGCCGGGCUUCUCGUUCCGGUCGGACUUCGCCUUCUCGUCUUCUUUCUCCACUGUCGUUCCAGCCGGACUUCUCUUUCUCCGUUUUCUUUUUCCACUGUUCUUAGAUACAACAAAAGACACCGAUGGCUCAAGAAUACCCCAAUUUCGAGUCCCAGUUUGUCCCCCUUCCACAAAAUAUCCCUCCCCUUGGGAUAUGUAUUGAUAACGAAACAUGUGCUGAAUAUACUCUCGUCAUG